This 106-nucleotide small nuclear RNA is filed under the name Propithecus coquereli (Coquerel's sifaka). The record is from RNAcentral. Lineage: Eukaryota; Metazoa; Chordata; Mammalia; Primates; Indriidae.
GUGCUCACUUUGGCAACACACACACUAAAAUGGCAAUGAUACAGAGAAGAUUAACAUACCCCCUGUGCAAGAAUGAUAUGCAAAUUCAGAUGGGUUCCAUAUUUUU